AAGUCGUAACAAGGUCUCCGUUGGUGAACCAGCGGAGGGAUCAUUACCGAGUUCUUACAGAACCCUACCCUUGUGUGCUAAGCUACCACCCAGCUUUUACACAAGAGUCCCGGCUUGACCGCCGGGGCUAUCAGUGUAAAAAACAAAACCUCUGUAUUAUUAUUAUCUCUCUGAGACUUUUUUACAAAAGAGUCAAAACUUUCAACAACGGAUCUCUUGGUUCUG
RNAcentral lists this unclassified non-coding RNA (225 nucleotides) under Schizothecium sp. RNAcentral describes it as "partial internal transcribed spacer region". The stretch from base 1 to 46 matches the Rfam family "Eukaryotic small subunit ribosomal RNA", at positions 1786 to 1831 of the family's 1831-position model. The record is from RNAcentral. Lineage: Eukaryota; Fungi; Ascomycota; Sordariomycetes; Sordariales; Schizotheciaceae.